UAAUACGGAGGGUGCAAGCGUUAUUCGGAUUUACUGGGCGUAAAGGGCGCGUAGGCGGUCUUAUAAGUCAGAUGUGAAAGCCCGGGGCUCAACCCCGGAAGUGCAUCUGAAACUAUGGGACUUGAGUAUGGGAGAGGGAAGUGGAAUUCCUGGUGUAGCGGUGAAAUGCGUAGAUAUCAGGAGGAACACCGGUGGCGAAGGCGACUUCCUGGACCAAUACUGACGCUGAGGCGCGAAGGCGUGGGGAGCAAACAGGAUUAGAUACCCUGGUAGUCCACGCAGUAAACGGUGAGCACUAGGUGUAGCGGGUAUUGACCCCUGCUGUGCCGCAGCUAACGCAUUAAGUGUUCCGCCUGGGUAGUACGGUCGCAAGGUUA
Molecule: ribosomal RNA, 377 nt
Filed under: uncultured delta proteobacterium
Lineage: Bacteria; Deltaproteobacteria
Description: bacterial SSU rRNA
Rfam family: Bacterial small subunit ribosomal RNA
Source: RNAcentral